GUGCCAGCAGCCGCGGUAAUUCCAGCUCUCAAUAGCGUAUAUUAAAGUUGUUGUGGUUAAAAAGCUCGUAGUUGAACCUUGGGCCUGGCUGGCCGGUCCGCCUCACCGCGUGCACUGGUCCGGCCGGGCCUUUCCCUCUGUGGAACCCCAUACCCUUCACUGGGCGUGGCGGGGAAACAGGACAUUUACUUUGAAAAAAUUAGAGUGCUCCAGGCAGGCCUAUGCUCGAAUACAUUAGCAUGGAAUAAUAAAAUAGGACGCGCGGUUCUAUUUUGUUGGUUUAUAGGACCGCCGUAAUGAUUAAUAGGGACAGUCGGGGGCAUCAGUAUUCAACUGUCAGAGGUGAAAUUCUUGGAUCAGUUGAAGACUAACUACUGCGAAAGCAUUUGCCAAGGAUGUUUUCAUUAAUCAGGAACGAAAGUUAGGGGAUCGAAGACGAUCAGAUACCGUCGUAGUCUUAACCAUAAACUAUGCCGACUAGGGAUCGGACGGUGUUAUUCAUGACCCGUUCGGCACCUUACGAGAAAUCAAAGUGCUUGGGCUCCAGGGGGAGUAUGGUCGCAAGGCUGAAACUUAAAGAAAUUGACGGAAGGGCACCACCAGGGGUGGCGCCUGCGGCUUAAUUUGACUCAACACGGGGAAACUCACCAGGUCCAGACACAAUAAGGAUUGACAGAUUGAGAGCUCUUUUCUUGAUUUUGUGGGUGGUGAUGCAUGGACGUUCUUAGUUGGUGGGGUGACUUGUCUGCUUAAUUGCGAUAACGAACGAGACCUUUAACCUGCUAAAUAGCCCGCAUUGCUCCGGCAGUGCGCUGGCUUCUUAGAGGGACUUUCGGCUCAGCCGA
This 845-nucleotide ribosomal RNA is filed under the name uncultured fungus. RNAcentral describes it as "SSU rRNA". It matches the Rfam family "Eukaryotic small subunit ribosomal RNA", at positions 564 to 1437 of the family's 1831-position model. The record is from RNAcentral. Lineage: Eukaryota; Fungi.